Molecule: long non-coding RNA, 1997 nt
Organism: Aquila chrysaetos chrysaetos
Lineage: Eukaryota; Metazoa; Chordata; Aves; Accipitriformes; Accipitridae
Exons: 3
Source: RefSeq, a predicted model, not a curated record
UACUUAGGAAUUCAGUACCCUGAAGUAACAGCAGCUUGUGCGGAGAGGGGAACCACGGGGAGCACCCGUCCACCCAGCAGCCACGGCCUGACAGAGGGGCCUUUUGCCUCCUGCUCCUUUGCAGUAUUUGACAAAUUGUUUAAAUGUCAUUCUUUUUUUGUACCAUAUGACUGAAUAACAGUUACGUAAAACAAAAAUGUCUAUUCCCCUUUUCCCAAAAUAUAAAAUUAAGUUUAACAUACAUGUCAGAGGACUAAGCUGUACCAGUCUGGAGCUAUCUUACACUUAAAAUAUAAAGAUACAGCUGUCUACAGUCUUCUGACUAAACUUACAAAGAUAUACCUGGCAUCUUGGAUGCUGACUAAAAUAAAAAGGAUUUUCUUCUGCCUCUUUAGUUGGAUUGAAUAGCUAAAUAAUUGUAGAGAUACAAAUAAAAAAGGUGUUCCUGUUCUAAUGGCUGCUAAAACCUCUAGCUUUGCUGUUGCGUGAACGACAGUGACCCGUAGCACGUUAAACUGGACGUGGACAGAUAUUCAUAAGCCAUUUGCUGCAGAUCAGCAAGAGACUUCUCCUAAGCUGAGGCAUCACUUUUGUGCUCCUAGGUUCUCGGGCAUAUGAAAUGGCAUACAGUGGCUUGAACCACUGUGAUGAGCACUAAUACCACUUUCCUCAGCUGAAACUGCACAAAACUUUUUUUUUUUUUUUUGAUUAGCAGUUAACUGAAGUGCUUGAAAUAAGGCUAUCAGAAGCAGUAGGCCAGCUGAAAGCAGUAGGACACUGUACAGCCUGUGGAAAGCAGGACUGCAGUGCUGUUGGAAGAUCCAGCUGGUGAAAAACAUCUAACCCCUAAUGCGGUGAAGCUUGCGACUAAUGCUCCCUUAAACCACGUGCCGCCUGCUGAAACAUCAGGCCUUGAGUAUUUCAGGCUGCUGCUUCAUAAUCACGUUGUCGGGCAGACCACCAGGCUUGAUCUGCUUGUUUGGACCCUGUACAAAAGAUGGAGAUGGGAAAUCCUCAUUGCCCGGGAGGAUGAACGUCAGUUCUUUGCAAAUAUCAUCCCAGAAUAGCAGCCAGAGCUGCAGAAACAAGACCAUCAGAACUCACCCAGCACCUUGCAGUGGAUGUUGUCCAGACUGGAGAGGUGGAUCAAGCAGUACUGUACCACAUGGGGAUUGUACAUGGAGGAAAAGUAAGAUGGCUUCUGCAUGUAAGGCCUUACGCAGGUGAUAGUGAUUUGUGUACUGAUGUACUACUGUCAGCUGCAUGUGAGAGGACAGCAAGUAGGUUGCACUCAAUGAAGUGAAGGUUUGCAGUACAGCUUUGAACUACAUGUUUCAGAAGGAUGUUUGGCCCUAACCUAAUGCAAAAUAGACCCCCCAAGUCAGAGGUGAGGAGCCUCAGCACUAGACAUUUCGGUCUGCUGCUCUGUUUGUGUUGCACCAAAUUAAUUACUAGCAUAGAUGGUCCCACCACCUUUGGAAUUCCAGAACUUCCUGGACUGUGGCAUCUUCCUAGUAAACGUGGAGAUGGAAGACCUUACUACAAAUCUAUCUGGAAGCACAGGGAUGAGGGAUAGUGCAAGUCUGAGGGGAAAAAAAGCCCCUGUUCUCACUAUAGGGAUCAUUCUGAGAGAGAGGAGGCUAGCUGCAGCCACCAUUUUAUCACUUGGUGUUUGCUCACUGUGACUCUAAAACGAUGGAGAACAUGCAGGUAAAUGGGGCAGCUGGGCAGCGCAGGAUGCACUGCUGUGUGAAAAGGCAGCUGAAGACCCCAAAAUAAUUCGGAGCAGAUUGGAUAACACAAAUAUUACUGUGACUACUGAUUCCAACAGGAGUGAAAAUGUCAGAGGUGUUCAGCUGUGUUCAUGGAUUGUGUUGAUAUGGUCCAAUUUACAGCAGAAAUAGGUCUUUGGAGGAAUGUGCCUUUGCAGUGUAAGAAUUGUACUUCCAGCUUCUGUUUUCUAUACUUUGACUGCACAAUAAAUCGUUUUUUUCUUA